This 450-nucleotide ribosomal RNA is filed under the name uncultured bacterium. RNAcentral's name for it is "partial 16S ribosomal RNA". It matches the Rfam family "Bacterial small subunit ribosomal RNA", at positions 354 to 796 of the family's 1533-position model. The record is from RNAcentral.
GUGGGGAAUUUUGGACAAUGGGCGCAAGCCUGAUCCAGCAAUGCCGCGUGCAGGAAGAAGGCCUUCGGGUUGUAAACUGCUUUUGUACGGAACGAAACGGUCCGGGUUAAUACCCUGGGCUAAUGACGGUACCGUAAGAAUAAGCACCGGCUAACUACGUGCCAGCAGCCGCGGUAAUACGUAGGGUGCAAGCGUUAAUCGGAAUUACUGGGCGUAAAGCGUGCGCAGGCGGAUUUGUAAGACAGGCGUGAAAUCCACGGGCUCAACCUGGGAAUUGCGCUUGUGACUGCAAGGCUGGAGUGCGGCAGAGGGGGAUGGAAUUCCGCGUGUAGCAGUGAAAUGCGUAGAUAUGCGGAGGAACACCGAUGGCGAAGGCAAUCCCCUGGGCCUGCACUGACGCUCAUGCACGAAAGCGUGGGGAGCAAACAGGAUUAGAAACCCCUGUAGUCC